RNAcentral lists this small RNA (594 nucleotides) under Pongo abelii (Sumatran orangutan). RNAcentral's name for it is "processed transcript". The record is from RNAcentral. Lineage: Eukaryota; Metazoa; Chordata; Mammalia; Primates; Hominidae.
ACUGCUUUCUUCUACCUUGGACUACUUGUCCCAAGAUGCAGUUCCACCUCCCAGAUUCCCUAGUUACUAUCUCUAAGCACUGAAGUCGGUGUUUGGAGAAAAGGACUCAGGUGAGGACUGGAGUAGAGACAGGGUUUCACCAUGUUAGCCAGGAUGGUCUCGAUCUCCUGACCUCGUGAUCCCCCAUCCUCGGCCUCCCAAAGUGCUGGGAUUACAGGCAAGAGCCACCAUGCCCGGCCCAAUUUGAUUUAAUGAGUUAAUCUCACUUGGUGAAUAUGAAAAAGCAGCUUGUUAUGCAGCAAACAGUCCUAGAAGAAUUCUUCGAAACAUUGGUACAAUGAAUACAUUUAAGGACUGACAUUUUCUGAGGAGGCUGGGGAUGUGAUUUGUGAUUAUGGGGAGCAGGAUACUUAUAACAAGGCCAAGUGCCUGGCUUUAGCUCAGAUUAUCUACAGUGAAUGCGGCCUGCACAAGAAAGCUAUUCUUUGCUUGUGUAAACAGGGUCAGACUCAUAGGGUCAUGGAAUACAUACAGCAGUUGAAGGACUUUACUACCGAUGACCUGUUGCAGCUAUUAAUGUCAUGUCCCCAAGUU